UCGUCCUCCUUCCGUCGAUCCCUCGAUUCGCCACCAACUCUCCAUUACAUUGCCAGGCGAGGAUAUCCCGCAGCGCACCCCAAGGCUACCUACGACACCCCACUCGAGACAAGGCCGGAGAACGAUGGCGACCUUCAGGUCAUCCGCAUCUCACACGCAGCCGCCGAAAUCGACGCGUCACCGCCGAAAAUCGGGCAUGUCGUUUUUCAAAUCAAGGUCUCCGCCGUACGAAUCGAUUCAUCGGCGGCGCUGGAAUCGACCCCGACUUCAGACGCUGCCGACGCUGCCACAGGCUCCCCGUGGCUGGUCUCGUGCUCACCGCCGUCUCAAGGUCCACAACCCUCCGCCACGAAAGGGAGCUGUGACGGGAGCUCCUCCCGCACGUUUCCCUGUUGCCGGGCUCGUGCUCACAACCGCCCGAGGUCGCGCCGUACCUUUCUGGCAGAAAAAGGACCUAGGACAGGAGCUCCUCCGGCACGAUUGCACGAAGUAGCUCAGGCUGAGCUUUAUUGCUCACAGCAAGGUUGAAGCUAUCAAGAAGGUCUAUGAGUAUGUGAUGCAACUGACGAGAAUUGGCAAAGGGCAUGGGAUUCGGCACUUUGAUGGAUGCUCCUUCAGUCCUGAAGACCGGAGUACAUUGAAGUGUAUGGACUUUAUUUUUUGGUGUGAUCAGCUACAAGCAUGCUGAGCUUGAUUGCUCACAGGGAGGGAUUGGCAAGCUUCCAUUCUUUGUGGUGUCUGCAUACAUCAAUAUCACUAUUUGACUACAUGAUUUUUUUUUAAAAUUCCAUUAUUUCUGAUCUCCAUGUGCAUCAAUAUCAUUCUUUUGCAGCGUGCGUGUCAGUGAACAUGCUUUGAAACCGGUGCUUUUGGUGUUUUCGUGACGAUGCCACUUUUUUCUCUCCCAGCAACCUGAUCUGUAGUACAGUGCCGCCGUACGUGCACCACUUCAUCUACGCCUACUUUGACCGCGACAAUGUUGCAACCAAGGGAUUUCCCAAGUACAGUGUUAUGUUUCUUUAAGAAAUCAAGCGAAGAGGAAAGGGAGCACGCCGAGAAGAUCACAGAGUACCAGGUAUCAUUGAAUUCCUUGGGCUCUUAGUUGAUGUACCAUUGGUACACGAAUGCUAGCUAGAAACAGACCAACGAUGCUUGGUGUAAGCUUGUGUGUAGUUCGACCACUAUGAGAAACGUGAUGCUCUGCAUGGUGAGUUUCUUUAUGGUUUGCAUUGUGGGUCUUCUUCUUAGGCAUGCGUCAUCUGUUUAUUGAUACUCAGUGGGCUGUCAAUUUUUUCUAGAUUAAUUAGCUAGGGGGAGUAACAAUAGUUCAAUCGAAGACCAGAGUAAAGUAGGUGUAUGCAAAGCUAACUGAUUAGGAACUGAACAUGGCCUCACUAACAUGUGUCCAGUUUUUUUUUUAACUGCUAGCUAUUUGGUUAAAAGUAUUGGUUAUAAGUUACGUAGCUUGUUACCAGCGACCUUUUACUCAUGUCUGGUUGGUGUUGUGUCUCUUUAAAUAUAUUUAGACCAGAAGAAAAUGAAACAAUCGUUCAUGAUUUAGUAAUAAGUUGUUAAAUAACCGAACCUAGCUUGUGAUGUAGAAAAAAAAGGAUGGCUACAUGUAGAAAAAGGAUUUGAAUACUUUCUCACAUCACUCGUCGCCUAGCGUACUAAGUGGCAGAGGAAUGGUCUGUGUGUCAUUAUGAAGUAGAGUAAUAGAAAAGUUCCACUUCCAGUUGAGCAUCUCACAUGCAUGCAGAUUACAGUAGUGUGUAUAAACAUCGAAUGAGGUUUGUAAAUAUAUUGCAUUUUGCUAGGCCAUCCACGCUCCAAUCCACUUGGAUGAUUUCUGAUCAAAGCUAGAAUUUCGUUGCGAUUGUGAUUAAGUGGCGUCUGAUUUCUCAGGAAGGUGCUACUAAAGUAAUAUGUAUUGUGGUUUUUCUCUUUACCUGAAAGUAGGGGCAAUGCCAGCUCCCCACACAAGGUAAUAUUACCUCCUCUCAGAAAUUGGAGGAGAUUUGUUCUUCACAACUACAUGUUGAGCGGUUGAAUGCAUUCCUACUCACACGUCUGAUGGGAAUUUUAUGUGAGUAAGAGAGAAAAGAGAGAGGGGUGGAAAGUUCAUGUGUGUUCAGAAAACAAAUGUAACACCGAGUAUAGAUCUGGUCCAUGAUCUCUUGAACCGGGUGGCUUUGUCCCAACUCACCGAUGUCGUGUUCUCUCUAUCAAUUAUAGCUCCAUGUAUGAACUGGCAUCAAUGAGCAAAUGAAUGUGAAAUAAGGGUGUUGUGAACA
Molecule: long non-coding RNA, 2294 nt
Organism: Lolium perenne
Lineage: Eukaryota; Viridiplantae; Streptophyta; Magnoliopsida; Poales; Poaceae
Source: RefSeq, a predicted model, not a curated record